AUUGAACGCUGGCGGCAUGCCUUACACAUGCAAGUCGAACGGUAGAGUAGCAAUACUCGAGAGUGGCGAACGGGUGAGUAAUAUAUCGGAACGUGACCCAACUGUGGGGGAUAACGUAGAGAAAUUUACGCUAAUACCGCAUACGAUCUAAAGAUGAAAGCGGGGGAUCGCAAGACCUCGCGCAGUUGGAGCGGCUGAUA
This 200-nucleotide ribosomal RNA is filed under the name uncultured bacterium. RNAcentral's name for it is "partial 16S ribosomal RNA". It matches the Rfam family "Bacterial small subunit ribosomal RNA", at positions 30 to 235 of the family's 1533-position model. The record is from RNAcentral.